Molecule: ribosomal RNA, 328 nt
Filed under: uncultured beta proteobacterium
Lineage: Bacteria; Pseudomonadati; Pseudomonadota; Betaproteobacteria
Description: bacterial SSU rRNA
Rfam family: Bacterial small subunit ribosomal RNA
Source: RNAcentral
UGGGUGUCGUCAGCUCGUGUCGUGAGAUGUUGGGUUAAGUCCCGCAACGAGCGCAACCCUUGUCCCUAGUUGCUACGCAAGAGCACUCUAGGGAGACUGCCGGUGACAAACCGGAGGAAGGUGGGGAUGACGUCAAGUCCUCAUGGCCCUUAUGGGUAGGGCUUCACACGUCAUACAAUGGUCGGAACAGAGGGUCGCCAACCCGCGAGGGGGAGCCAAUCCCAGAAAACCGAUCGUAGUCCGGAUCGCACUCUGCAACUCGAGUGCGUGAAGCUGGAAUCGCUAGUAAUCGCGGAUCAGCAUGCCGCGGUGAAUACGUUCCCGGGCC